UAAUAAUAAUAAUAAUAAUAACUUCACACAAAAACAGAUGAAAAAAUGCAGAAAAAUCAACAUUUCCCAGAACAACAAUCAAAAAACAACAAUAUUCAGGGAUUUUCACGGUGAAAGAAAUGAGAAAGAUUUAAGAAGAAUGUCUAAUCAUAUGAACACAUUUUCUUGUCAUUAUUUGUGAAGUUCAAACCCAAAAAAAAGGGGGAAUUCCAACAUAUUCUUAGCACUAAAUAAUAAAAGAACAAUGCUAGUUCAAUUUCAUAGCAUGCUAUGCUUAAUUUUACUCGGAUGCAUUCCACAAAUUGUUCCAUUACAUUCAUGAUAUAUCCCAAAUUCCAAAUAAGAGAAGGCAAGAGAUUCCUGAGGUGGAAAAUUGAUCACAAUGGCAAGUGAGGAGGAAAAAAUCAUACCUAUGAGGGAUGUACUUCAGGCAGCCCCAAACCAGCUGGCCUCCCAUGGAAGACCCAAUUACAUAAAAUUUUAAUCCCAGUCCUAAAUGAUCAGCAAGCUCCUCUAUAUCAGAAGCCAAACUCCUCAGAGUUCGCUUUGAAUCUGGAUCACUUUCUCCAUAACCUGGCCGGUCAAAGGACACAAAAUACACACCUAGCUCUUCAAUUACUUCCUGAGGAAGGACUUUUACAAACCCAAAAUUAUCUUUGGUGGUGGAAAAGCCAUGAACAUAUAUGAUCUUGUAAUUGGCAGUUUCUCUUGAUACACCGUGCUCCUUGUAAGCCAAAUGUCUUCCAUCCCUCAGUUUUAUUCUAGGUGCAGUGAUGGGAGGCCCACCUAGGCUACCACAAAGCUUGGGAGGCGGCGGGUAGGCAGCCUGAUACGCCCAUGCCAGCAACCCAAUCAACAGAACUACUGCAAUUUCCCUGAACAUC
This 884-nucleotide unclassified non-coding RNA is filed under the name Hevea brasiliensis (rubber tree). The record is from RNAcentral. Lineage: Eukaryota; Viridiplantae; Streptophyta; Magnoliopsida; Malpighiales; Euphorbiaceae.